Long non-coding RNA from Nicotiana attenuata, 1549 nucleotides. RefSeq lists it as uncharacterized. The record is from RefSeq and is a predicted model, not a curated record. Lineage: Eukaryota; Viridiplantae; Streptophyta; Magnoliopsida; Solanales; Solanaceae. The transcript is spliced from 4 exons.
UUUCCUCUCUUCUUCCUCUCUCUUUUCACUCUCUCCCCUCUCCCUCAGACCUUGCCGUUCGCCACCCAUCUCCGCGCCGAAAAUCGCCACUACCGGCCGGCCACCUCCAAUCACCCCCAAAUUUUCACCAGUUCUCCAUCUCAACCCCCUCUCUUCAAAUCUACCCUCAAAAUCCUCCAGAUCUCCACCAAUCUCCACAAAUCUACCCAAAUUUGAAACUCUAGCCUCAUCUUCUAUUUGAAAUUCAUCAAGGUUGAAUCGCCUUUACCCCCACAAUAUAUACAUGAACUUGUAGAUAUUUUCACGAUCUAUCACUUUUCAUUAAUUUCCAUACCAAAUCUGGCGACCAUAAUCUGGUCGAAUUCUGGCGACCACCCUGCUAUCGUACCACUCACCACCACCACAACCUUUAACUACCACAAACUCACUUAGCCCUCUAUAUUAAAAUACAUUCGACCUAAGGACACCUCUUUCCUUUUGGUAUGACGCCGAAUUCAUUGAAUUUGGAAUGUACCAAAAUGAAACGAAUGUUCCAAGAUCAGGCAACCGUUGUCGACGUCCUCAACACCUCAUCGCUGCUUGGCUUAACAUUGAAUCCCCUGUUAUGUUCUUAGUCAUUCCGUCACCACAAGAAACCUGGGUUUUAGCGACGACCUUCUGUGGCGACUGGUUUAAUUGCUACAAAAGUGAUAGCUGUAGUGGCGACACUUUUUGUCGCAACAGAAGUUAAUGUUUUAGGGGCGACUGUACUUAAGUCGCUACAAGUAAGCACAAUUUUUUCCUUUCCCGCGUACUCCAAAAUUUUUAUUUUCCGCUUAGAGCACAUUUGUGGCGACUUUUUUUAAAGUUGUUGCAAUAGUCCUGUUACAGCGACCAAGUCGCCUCUAUUUCUUUGCUUUAAAGUUAAAAAACAAACAAAAAUUAAUUACACCCCGUCUUUUGUUUAUUUUCUUACCAAAUCCCCUUUGUCUCGAACUCAAAACCCUGACCGAGCAGCGAACCUGUGAAAGCAGGAAGAAAACCAAGUGACUCCCUUCUCCUCCUUAAUCAAACCUCACCCCUUUGCCUCCUCCUAUUUUCUCUCUCUAAAUCGCUCAACCAUUUAUAUCUAGAGUUGAAGAUGAAAGAAGAAAAGGAAGCAAAUGAUUUAGUUGAGUACCACGAAGUGGCCCUGUGCUGUUUUCUCUCCUUUCCUAUGAGAUUUAGUAUGAUUUUGGUGGUUAUUGGCCUAGUUUGAUCUGAUUCAUGAAAUCUCUCUUUGCCUCUGGAGAAGGAAGUGCAAAGACAAGGAAAAGUACAACAGGGAAAUGAAGUUUCUCAAGGAGUAGUUUGAAGACAUUGGAGUAGCUUGAAGACAAGAUCCUUUGCAUUUUUCUUAAAUUGUAGGGAUAAGGUUCUUCGACAUGUAGGAAUUGGAACACAUUUUGUUUCUUUCUUUCUUUCCUCCAUGUGUAUAUACGAUGGCAAUGUAUUAUGGAGCAUUCUAUAUAUACUUUGUUGCAUAGACUUUUUUGGUAAUAAAAAGUUCCUAUAUAAUUUUGUUUGCCUA